This is a long non-coding RNA of Spinacia oleracea (spinach), 699 nucleotides long. RefSeq lists it as uncharacterized. The record is from RefSeq and is a predicted model, not a curated record. NCBI's taxonomy places the organism in Eukaryota, Viridiplantae, Streptophyta, Magnoliopsida, Caryophyllales, Amaranthaceae. The transcript has 4 exons.
GGUUUUGGAUUCGAAUCAUAAAAGUUAAAUCCUAAGUCUAGCCCACUUGGGAAAGCCCAACAUUAAAACCCAAAACUCAAACCCUCCCCCUUUUCCUAAUUCACGUGAAACCUUGGAGAAAGAAAAAAAAAAAAAAAAAAAAAAGCAAACCUCCUUCUUCAACCUCACGUACGGUACAACCAAACCCUCAUCCUCUCUUCUCACCGUUUCUCCCUCCCGCCUCCACGUUCGUUGUUGCAGCUUCCCUCGCCGUCGGACCACCACCAGCCGUCGCCACUGCAACACCUCGACCCAGCACCACCGUCCGCCGGUCAACCUUGCCGCGAGCCACCACCUGUCCGCCGGCCAGCCUCCUCUCUCCUCUUUAAUUCUUGGCGGAGAAUUCUCUUUAGGCAACUUUUGAAAGUGUUAAAGUGGCGUAUCAGUUUGUUUACACAAGUCUCUAAGGAUCAAUAAGCGUUGCCCAUCUACAGGUUUGAAGAUGAUGCAUCAUUGGGAUCGGGAUUAGAGAGCUUGUAGUUAUAUUUGUUUAAUUAAGUGAUUUAAUUUGUUAAUUUGGACUUGAAAUUUGUCGUACUAUUCGUAAUUCCUUAUUUUCGUUAAUUGGUUUUUGAACUUAAUAUGUAAUCGAUUAUUUAUAAACCUAAAAGUUAGUUUUAUGUUUUCUGCUGCAAAAUUCUGAAUAAGCCGUUACGUUUU